Nothoprocta perdicaria is the source of this 326-nucleotide long non-coding RNA. RefSeq lists it as uncharacterized. NCBI's taxonomy places the organism in Eukaryota, Metazoa, Chordata, Aves, Tinamiformes, Tinamidae. The transcript has 3 exons. The record is from RefSeq and is a predicted model, not a curated record.
UGUUCUUUUCCUUGAUGUUGUAUAAAUGAGAAGUUGGGGCAGUGCUAUUUUAUUUGCAUGGCUUUGUUUCCUGAAAAAUGUGGACUUGAUAGGACUAGAGAGCUGCUUUGUGACGUGUCUGUGGCUUCGAAGCUAAAUAAUGGCAACUGAAAUGGAUAAAAAGCCAGAUUGUUAUCAUUGCCUAAGGCAAGAACCAUAGAUGAGAAGAGACCAACUACAGCUACAAAUUCUUCAGCCAAUUAUCUGAAUGAACGUGCUGCUUGCAGUCUUUCAACUGUACAGGUCCUGGGGAGAUCUUCACAACCGGCUUGGACGCAGCCCUGUGC